CCAUCUCUUCUCCUCCCCACGAACUUGAAGCGGUGAUUUAAUACUCAUGAAGUCACCUCACAAUCGGAGCAUUCAACGAGUGAAAACUGCCACUGGAGCUCACCCGCCGCCGUUUCCCCCAGCUUAAAAAGCAGGCCGUGGUGGUGCCAUCCGCCUCCACUCCAAUCAGGGUUGAUCUCCGGCUGGAACUGCUCGACGUUGGACAAGCACCCGAUUAAUUCCAUUGGAUUUUGCCUGCUGCUACCUCAGGACAUCCGGAUUCUUUGGAUUUCUUGGCUUCUGGUCGCAUUCUCGGAUAGAUGUGUGGUUGGCCUUCUUCCCCAUUGCCAAGCACCAUCGCCUGAGCUGUGCUUGGAAUUGGAUUGCAUAGUACCUAUGGUGGCUGAUUAUUUGGUGCAUUAACGUCGCAUCCAUCGAGGUGUCAUGCCUGGUUGUCCCAGCAAGUACGCAAUGGCCAUUCAAUUUACUUAGCAGUUAGCACUGGUUAUGGUUGUGCAUCUCUGUAGCCAGGUUAGAUUGCAUUUUCUGUUAUCUUCUAGGUGAAGUUCAGGGAAAGAUGGAAAGUUAAUUAGUGUAGC
Lolium rigidum is the source of this 578-nucleotide long non-coding RNA. RefSeq lists it as uncharacterized. The record is from RefSeq and is a predicted model, not a curated record. NCBI's taxonomy places the organism in Eukaryota, Viridiplantae, Streptophyta, Magnoliopsida, Poales, Poaceae. The transcript is spliced from 3 exons.